UCCCUGGUAGCUCAGUCGGUAAAGAAUCUGCCUACAGUGCAGGAGACCUGGGUUCAAACCCUGGGUGGGGAA
This 72-nucleotide transfer RNA is filed under the name Bos taurus (domestic cattle). It matches the Rfam family "tRNA". From Rfam's summary of the family: Transfer RNA (tRNA) molecules are approximately 80 nucleotides in length. Their secondary structure includes four short double-helical elements and three loops (D, anti-codon, and T loops). The record is from Rfam by way of RNAcentral. RNAcentral also lists the same sequence under 4 other names. Lineage: Eukaryota; Metazoa; Chordata; Mammalia; Artiodactyla; Bovidae.